GAACAAUACUAUAGUAUUCUAUCAACACACUGCUGUUACUACUUCCUCGUACAUGACUAGAAUCUCGCAGGCGGCACAUCUCAGACGAAUCUAAGGGGUGUCAGAUUUAAGUGUUUCUAUUUUGGGUUUAAGGGUGUUGUUUAGAGUUGAACACGCUCAAGGGUAUUGUUGCUACUCUAUCUCGGCCAUUGGCUAUCCAUCGUGCUACAUCAAUGAGCUUCAACUCGAAUGUAGAACUUAUCUCCGGAAGGAUUCAAGUGACUGACAAGGACAGGGAAUCAAAAGAGAAUCUGAUGGAUUUGUACGAAAGGUGGAUGAGACACUAUGGGAAAAUCGGAACUGACAUCGACGAUAAGAAUAGACGCUUUUAAACUUUCAAAAUGAAAGUAAUGAAUAUGAAUUUGGAACGUCAUUGUAUCCUUAGUAUCUUUACUGAUGCCAGCAGGGAAGAGUAUCCUAAUUUGCUGGGAGGCAAUUCUCCAGUGUCGAAGCUCAGAGGUAAUUGAGGAAGCUUUAUCAGUUCCGUCAAUAUGCGUCUGAACAUGUUAUUUGCUUUUGUUAGUAGGAGAUUAACUGGCUUAACCACAAUAGUUUCCAUGAGGUUCUACUAGUUCUUUUUUUCCUAUUUAACUCCCAAUAGUACUCACUUUACUCUACAUAAGGUUGAUAGCGCGCACAGGCCAUUACUCUAGAUAAGGUUGAUAGCGCGCACAAGCCAUUCAGUUGAAU
This is a long non-coding RNA of Papaver somniferum (opium poppy), 729 nucleotides long. RefSeq lists it as uncharacterized. The transcript has 3 exons. Lineage: Eukaryota; Viridiplantae; Streptophyta; Magnoliopsida; Ranunculales; Papaveraceae. The record is from RefSeq and is a predicted model, not a curated record.